Molecule: ribosomal RNA, 414 nt
Filed under: uncultured bacterium
Lineage: Bacteria
Description: partial 16S ribosomal RNA
Rfam family: Bacterial small subunit ribosomal RNA
Source: RNAcentral
UGGGGGAAUAUUGCACAAUGGGCGCAAGCCUGAUGCAGCCAUGCCGCGUGUGUGAAGAAGGCCUUCGGGUUGUAAAGCACUUUCAGCGAGGAGGAAGGUGGUGAACUUAAUACGUUCAUCAAUUGACGUUACUCGCAGAAGAAGCACCGGCUAACUCCGUGCCAGCAGCCGCGGUAAUACGGAGGGUGCAAGCGUUAAUCGGAAUUACUGGGCGUAAAGCGCACGCAGGCGGUUCGUUAAGUCAGAUGUGAAAUCCCCGGGCUCAACCUGGGAACUGCAUUUGAAACUGGCAAGCUAGAGUCUCGUAGAGGGGGGUAGAAUUCCAGGUGUAGCGGUGAAAUGCGUAGAGAUCUGGAGGAAUACCGGUGGCGAAGGCGGCCCCCCUGGACGAAGACUGACGCUCAGGUGCGAAAA